Molecule: small RNA, 102 nt
Filed under: Salmonella enterica
Lineage: Bacteria; Pseudomonadati; Pseudomonadota; Gammaproteobacteria; Enterobacterales; Enterobacteriaceae
Also listed under: 1 other name
Description: partial RtT sRNA
Rfam family: RtT RNA
About the family: This family represents a bacterial cis-regulatory element known as RtT RNA. The exact function of RtT is unknown although it is thought that it may be involved in changing the cellular response in relation to amino acid starvation.
Source: RNAcentral
UGUAUCGGAAGCCUGACGAGGAUGAGAACCUCCGGGGGCAAGAGGUUCGACUCGAGCGCAGCGAGAGAACGUUGCGUCAGCAACGGCCCGCAGGGCGAGCCA